This is a long non-coding RNA of Sinocyclocheilus grahami, 361 nucleotides long. RefSeq lists it as uncharacterized. The record is from RefSeq and is a predicted model, not a curated record. The transcript has 3 exons. Lineage: Eukaryota; Metazoa; Chordata; Actinopteri; Cypriniformes; Cyprinidae.
GGGGUUAUUUCCAGAAAUCACUUGUGAGACGUUAUGCUAGUGAGAGAAAUGGAGUGAAUGUGGUUGUUGGACCCAUCUUCGACUAUGACUACAAUGGUCUUAGGGAUUCAGCAGAGACAAUAAAACAGUAUGUCAGUGGCUCUGUGCAAAUCCCAAGUCAUUACUACAUUGUGGUUACAAGUUGUCUGGAUUACACACAGACUGUUGACUCCUGUGUUGGUCCUCUCAGUGUGUUCUCUUUCAUCCUUCCACACCGAUCAGAUAAUGAUGAAAGCUGUAAUAGUUCAGAGGACAAGACAAAGUGGGUCGAGGAACUGAUAAAGACACACACAGCACGUAUAAGAGACGUAGAGUUACUUAC